GAGACAUUCCUUUCCCUGGGAGCGGUGGGGAGUGUCCGUCCUGGGCUCGUGUCCUGACACACCAUCCUAUCCCAGCUUGUUCACUAGGGAACCUGAUUUUCAAGCCUGAGCUUAUUGGUGUUAGCACGUUCGCGGAAGCACACUGAAUUGAAGGUCCCGGGGUUUGAGUUCUAAUGCGGGCUUUGCCACGGGAUUGCCUAAAAGGGUUGAAGAAAUGAUUUAGUCGUUAUGGGCCUCAGUUUCUUUCUCUUUAAAGUGGGUUGGAGGAGAACAAGCAGGAAUGGACUCCUGCGCUGCCAGCCUCCCAGGGUGGGGCUCCCGUCGCCCGCCCCUUGACCCCAGGCUGGCUGUGGGAGCCAAGAAAUAGGAAACUGACACGUUGAAAGAGCAUCAGCUGUCCCGGGUGAGGUCACAGCCGGCCACUGGUGACCUCUGCUGGGUCAGCAGGUCAGCAGCCCCGCCCCUCCCGAGCUGCGGCCGCCAGGUCCUCCCCUGACCCUUGGCAAGGGCACCAUGCUCAUCCGUGCAGAGGGAAGCCGGGAGAACACCUCGCCCGCCCGUGGCUUGGUAAUCUGCUACCAUGUGACAAGGGCUCUCCAGCCACAGAUGCUGCUUCGCCUGUCCUGCCGGAGUGACGGGCACUAAGCGGAGUGUUACAUCAUGUUGCUUUAUGUAUUCUCCAAUUCUGUUAUUAAUUGCGUACAUAUUUAUGGCUAUGUGACUCGUGAAGAAGACCUGGAAUAUACCAGAGGAACUGAAGGACACUGAGGACGCGGUCUACCAACUUGUGGUCGAUGACCUGAAAGACACUAUCAGCCAACCUGACUUAAUUGACAUGUGUAGAACCUAAUAACAAAAUAAGCAUUCUUUUCAAAUACACAUGGAACAUUCACCAAAGUAAUUCAUAUGCUGGCCCAUGAAACUAAUACCUGCAAAUUUAUAAGGACUUAAAUAAUACAAAGCAUGUUCUUUGAUGACAGUAGUGUUAAACUAGGAUUGAAUAAGAGAAAGAUACAGCAAAAACUGUAAUUAGAAAUUUAAAAACACACUUCUAAAUAAUCUGUGGAUCAAAGAAGGAAUCAUGAAGGAAAUUCUAAUGUAUUUUGAAUUAAACAAAUGGAAACACAACAUAUUCAAAAAAAUGUGUGAUGCACCUAAAGAAAUGCUCAGAGGAAAAUGUAUAGAAUUAAUUACUUAUAAAGAAGGAAAGUCUCCAACAAUGAUCUCAGCUACCACCUUAAGAAAUUAUAAAAGGAAAGCAAGUUAAACACAAAGGAAGCCGAAGGAAGGAAAUAUAGAGCAGAAAUCAAUGAAAUAGAAAACAGGAAACUAAUAGAGAAAAAGCUAUUGAGCCAUAACUUACAAAUUUCUAGUCAGUCUGAUCAAGGAAAAAGAGGAGAGAAGAUACCGAUUACCAAUAUCAGAAAUGAAAGAAAAGACUUUACUAUACAUCUUACAGGAAUUAAAAGAUUAUGAACAACUUUACACUAAUACAUUUGAGAACUUACACGGAAUGGAAAAAUUGCCUGAAAGACCCAAACUCCCAACGCUCACUCAAGAAGAAAUAGUCUGAUCAGUGCUACAUGGUGGUGAAUUUUUCCAAACACGUAAGGAAGAAAUAAUACCAGUUCUAGAGAAAUGUUUCCAAAAAAUGGUAAAGGGUAGAACAUUUUCCAACUUACUUUAUGAGGCCGAUACUAACAUGAUACCAAAACCAGACAAAGACGAAGGUUUCAUGAAAAGUAAUCUAAAGCCCAAAUACACCUUAUGGACAUAGACAGAAAAGUCCUCAGCAAAAUGUUAGCAAAUCAAAUCCAGCAGUAUAUUAAAAAAGAUAACACAAGUGGGGGAUGCUAGGUUGGUUCGACACUUGAAAAUCGAUCAAUGUAAUUUACCAUAUCAGCAGACAAGGGAAGAACAUAAUUAUUUCAAUGAUGCAGAUGAAGCAUUUUAGCAAACUUCAACAUCCAUUCAUAAUAAAAUCUCUCAAGAAACUA
Long non-coding RNA from Herpailurus yagouaroundi (jaguarundi), 1997 nucleotides. RefSeq lists it as uncharacterized. The transcript is spliced from 2 exons. The record is from RefSeq and is a predicted model, not a curated record. Lineage: Eukaryota; Metazoa; Chordata; Mammalia; Carnivora; Felidae.